AUGUGUAUGUUUCUCGUUUGCCCUAUCCAAAUUUCAUUAUCUUAUUUGUUUGCAAAUAAUUCUUCUCUCUCGUCUUCUCGUUUCUUUUCCAUCCUCUGCUUUAUCACUUUCUUUUCAAGAUUCAUACACAAAGCAUAUUUUCAUCAUCUUCCUCAUAUUCCAAAGUUUCUCCGCAAAAUCAUCACCUGUUUUUUUCUCCAUCAUCCUUUCUUUCUCCCUUACAAAAUCCUCCCAUCUCGUCUUCUUCUUUCUAUCGCUUAUGGCAGACCAAUAAUAUCUGGAUUUCGCUAUAAACCCCUCUAA
Molecule: non-coding RNA, 303 nt
Organism: Vicia faba (fava bean)
Lineage: Eukaryota; Viridiplantae; Streptophyta; Magnoliopsida; Fabales; Fabaceae
Source: the annotation of a GenBank genome assembly